This 914-nucleotide ribosomal RNA is filed under the name Geastrum triplex. RNAcentral describes it as "partial large subunit ribosomal RNA". It matches the Rfam family "Eukaryotic large subunit ribosomal RNA", at positions 51 to 947 of the family's 3401-position model. Lineage: Eukaryota; Fungi; Basidiomycota; Agaricomycetes; Geastrales; Geastraceae. The record is from RNAcentral.
CUCAGGAAAAAGGACUAACAAGGAUUCCCCUAGUAACGGCGAGUGAAGAGGGAAAAGCUCAAAUUUAAAAUCUGGCGGUCUCAGGCCGUCCGAGUUGUAAUCUAGAGAAGUGUUUUCCGCGCUGGACCGUGUACAAGUCCUUUGGAACAAGGCGUCAUAGAGGGUGAGAAUCCCGUCUACGACACGGACUACCAAGCGCUUUGUGAUACACUCUCAACGAGUCGAGUUGUUUGGGAAUGCAGCUCAAAAUGGGUGGUAAAUUCCAUCUAAAGCUAAAUAUGGGCGAAAGACCGAUAGCGAACAAGUACCGUGAGGGAAAGAUGAAAAGCACUUUGGAAAGAGAGUUAAACAGUACGUGAAAUUGUUGAAAGGGAAACGCUUGAAGUCAGUCGCGUCUUCAGAAAUUCAGCUGGGCUUCUGCCCUGUGUACUUUUCUGUGGGACGGGCCAGCAUCAGUUUUGGCUGCCAGAAAAAGGUGGGAGGAAGGUGGCACCUCCGGGUGUGUUAUAGCCUCCGAUCGUAUGUGGCAGCUGGGACUGAGGACCGCAGCACGCCUUCAUGGCCGGGGUUCGCCCACGUAACGUGCUUAGGAUGCUGGCGUAAUGGCUUUAAGCGACCCGUCUUGAAACACGGACCAAGGAGUCUAACAUGCCUGCGAGUAUUUGGGUGGCAAACCCAUAUGCGCAAUGAAAGUGAACGGUUGGGACUUCUGUCAUGGAAGGCACCGACGCCCGGACCAGACCUAUUGUGACGGAUCCGAGGUAGAGCAUGUAUGUUGGGACCCGAAAGAUGGUGAACUAUGCCUGAGUAGGGUGAAGCCAGAGGAAACUCUGGUGGAGGCUCGUAGCGAUUCUGACGUGCAAAUCGAUCGUCGAACUUGGGUAUAGGGGCGAAAGACUAAUCGAACCAUCUAC